GGUUAAGCGACUAAGCGUACACGGUGGAUGCCCUGGCAGUCAGAGGCGAUGAAGGACGUGCUAAUCUGCGAUAAGCGUCGGUAAGGUGAUAUGAACCGUUAUAACCGGCGAUUUCCGAAUGGGGAAACCCAGUGUGAUUCGACACACUAUCAUUAACUGAAUCCAUAGGUUAAUGAGGCGAACCGGGGGAACUGAAACAUCUAAGUACCCCGAGGAAAAGAAAUCAACCGAGAUUCCCCCAGUAGCGGCGAGCGAACGGGGAGCAGCCCAGAGCCUGAAUCAGUGUGUGUGUUAGUGGAAGCGUCUGGAAAGGCGCGCGAUACAGGGUGACAGCCCCGUACACAAAAAUGCACAUGCUGUGAGCUCGAUGAGUAGGGCGGGACACGUGGUAUCCUGUCUGAAUAUGGGGGGACCAUCCUCCAAGGCUAAAUACUCCUGACUGACCGAUAGUGAACCAGUACCGUGAGGGAAAGGCGAAAAGAACCCCGGCGAGGGGAGUGAAAAAGAACCUGAAACCGUGUACGUACAAGCAGUGGGAGCACGCUUAGGCGUGUGACUGCGUACCUUUUGUAUAAUGGGUCAGCGACUUAUAUUCUGUAGCAAGGUUAACCGAAUAGGGGAGCCGAAGGGAAACCGAGUCUUAACUGGGCGUUAAGUUGCAGGGUAUAGACCCGAAACCCGGUGAUCUAGCCAUGGGCAGGUUGAAGGUUGGGUAACACUAACUGGAGGACCGAACCGACUAAUGUUGAAAAAUUAGCGGAUGACUUGUGGCUGGGGGUGAAAGGCCAAUCAAACCGGGAGAUAGCUGGUUCUCCCCGAAAGCUAUUUAGGUAGCGCCUCGUGAAUUCAUCUCCGGGGGUAGAGCACUGUUUCGGCAAGGGGGUCAUCCCGACUUACCAACCCGAUGCAAACUGCGAAUACCGGAGAAUGUUAUCACGGGAGACACACGGCGGGUGCUAACGUCCGUCGUGAAGAGGGAAACAACCCAGACCGCCAGCUAAGGUCCCAAAGUCAUGGUUAAGUGGGAAACGAUGUGGGAAGGCCCAGACAGCCAGGAUGUUGGCUUAGAAGCAGCCAUCAUUUAAAGAAAGCGUAAUAGCUCACUGGUCGAGUCGGCCUGCGCGGAAGAUGUAACGGGGCUAAACCAUGCACCGAAGCUGCGGCAGCGACGCUUAUGCGUUGUUGGGUAGGGGAGCGUUCUGUAAGCCUGUGAAGGUGUACUGUGAGGUAUGCUGGAGGUAUCAGAAGUGCGAAUGCUGACAUAAGUAACGAUAAAGCGGGUGAAAAGCCCGCUCGCCGGAAGACCAAGGGUUCCUGUCCAACGUUAAUCGGGGCAGGGUGAGUCGACCCCUAAGGCGAGGCCGAAAGGCGUAGUCGAUGGGAAACAGGUUAAUAUUCCUGUACUUGGUGUUACUGCGAAGGGGGGACGGAGAAGGCUAUGUUGGCCGGGCGACGGUUGUCCCGGUUUAAGCGUGUAGGCUGGUUUUCCAGGCAAAUCCGGAAAAUCAAGGCUGAGGCGUGAUGACGAGGCACUACGGUGCUGAAGCAACAAAUGCCCUGCUUCCAGGAAAAGCCUCUAAGCAUCAGGUAACAUCAAAUCGUACCCCAAACCGACACAGGUGGUCAGGUAGAGAAUACCAAGGCGCUUGAGAGAACUCGGGUGAAGGAACUAGGCAAAAUGGUGCCGUAACUUCGGGAGAAGGCACGCUGAUAUGUAGGUGAAGCGACUUGCUCGUGGAGCUGAAAUCAGUCGAAGAUACCAGCUGGCUGCAACUGUUUAUUAAAAACACAGCACUGUGCAAACACGAAAGUGGACGUAUACGGUGUGACGCCUGCCCGGUGCCGGAAGGUUAAUUGAUGGGGUCAGCGCAAGCGAAGCUCUUGAUCGAAGCCCCGGUAAACGGCGGCCGUAACUAUAACGGUCCUAAGGUAGCGAAAUUCCUUGUCGGGUAAGUUCCGACCUGCACGAAUGGCGUAAUGAUGGCCAGGCUGUCUCCACCCGAGACUCAGUGAAAUUGAACUCGCUGUGAAGAUGCAGUGUACCCGCGGCAAGACGGAAAGACCCCGUGAACCUUUACUAUAGCUUGACACUGAACAUUGAGCCUUGAUGUGUAGGAUAGGUGGGAGGCUUUGAAGUGUGGACGCCAGUCUGCAUGGAGCCGACCUUGAAAUACCACCCUUUAAUGUUUGAUGUUCUAACGUGGACCCGUAAUCCGGGUUGCGGACAGUGUCUGGUGGGUAGUUUGACUGGGGCGGUCUCCUCCUAAAGAGUAACGGAGGAGCACGAAGGUUGGCUAAUCCUGGUCGGACAUCAGGAGGUUAGUGCAAUGGCAUAAGCCAGCUUGACUGCGAGCGUGACGGCGCGAGCAGGUGCGAAAGCAGGUCAUAGUGAUCCGGUGGUUCUGAAUGGAAGGGCCAUCGCUCAACGGAUAAAAGGUACUCCGGGGAUAACAGGCUGAUACCGCCCAAGAGUUCAUAUCGACGGCGGUGUUUGGCACCUCGAUGUCGGCUCAUCACAUCCUGGGGCUGAAGUAGGUCCCAAGGGUAUGGCUGUUCGCCAUUUAAAGUGGUACGCGAGCUGGGUUUAGAACGUCGUGAGACAGUUCGGUCCCUAUCUGCCGUGGGCGCUGGAGAAUUGAGGGGGGCUGCUCCUAGUACGAGAGGACCGGAGUGGACGCAUCACUGGUGUUCGGGUUGUCAUGCCAAUGGCACUGCCCGGUAGCUAAAUGCGGAAGAGAUAAGUGCUGAAAGCAUCUAAGCACGAAACUUGCCCCGAGAUGAGUUCUCCCUGACUCCUUGAGAGUCCUGAAGGAACGUUGAAGACGACGACGUUGAUAGGCCGGGUGUGUAAGCGCAGCGAUGCGUUGAGCUAACCGGUACUAAUGAACCGUGAGGCUUAACCUUACAACGCCGAAGAUGUUUUG
RNAcentral lists this ribosomal RNA (2924 nucleotides) under Escherichia coli ISC7. Its description in RNAcentral is "LSU rRNA". It matches the Rfam family "Bacterial large subunit ribosomal RNA". The record is from RNAcentral. Lineage: Bacteria; Pseudomonadati; Pseudomonadota; Gammaproteobacteria; Enterobacterales; Enterobacteriaceae.